RNAcentral lists this ribosomal RNA (253 nucleotides) under uncultured bacterium. RNAcentral describes it as "partial 16S ribosomal RNA". It matches the Rfam family "Bacterial small subunit ribosomal RNA", at positions 524 to 776 of the family's 1533-position model. The record is from RNAcentral.
UACAGAGGUCUCAAGCGUUGUUCGGAUUCAUUGGGCGUAAAGGGUGUGUAGGUGGCGCCGUAAGUCGGGUGUAAAAUUUCGGAGCUUAACUCCGAAACUGCAUUCGAUACUGCGGUGCUUGAGGACUGGAGAGGAGACUGGAAUUCAUGGUGUAGCAGUGAAAUGCGUAGAGAUCAUGAGGAAGACCAGUGGCGAAGGCGGGUCUCUGGACAGUUCCUGACACUGAGGCACGAAGGCCAGGGGAGCAAACGGG